This 2192-nucleotide long non-coding RNA is filed under the name Vulpes vulpes (red fox). Its description in RNAcentral is "lncRNA (ENSVVUG00000022288.1)". Lineage: Eukaryota; Metazoa; Chordata; Mammalia; Carnivora; Canidae. The record is from RNAcentral.
AUGAUGCUCAAGCCCCAGGGGACCCGCAAAGGACAGGGGAUCAUUUGGAUGUGGAACUUGGUGGAGCCCACGCCGGCGCCCUGGCUUCUUUAUGCACCUGCCCAGAUGUGUCUGGCUCCCAGCACUCUCACGGAAGUGAAGUCAAGAUCAGGAAUCUCCUCAAGGGUACCCAGAGGCCCUUCGCCUUCCCAGAAGAUCCCCGUUGGCACUAGACUCACCCAGCUUCGCAUGGUGACUGCUAAGUUGACUUCCCACGGAACAGCAGGAGGACCGCCAGGCCCGGAGGUGCCUCAGCCAUGGCCACCUCUUCCUGGUACCUUGCAUGUGACAUUUGCUGCUGUUCAUAAAGACGCGGGACACCAGGCCACACAGACAGCCCCAGAAUCAGGACAAGCCCCUCACCGAGGCUGAUGCAGAAAUGUUCCAGGAAAUGGGUAAAGUGCUCUGCUUACUGUCUGAGUCCUGAGUUCCUAGGGGUGCCAGGUGGUACAAGCUCAAGAUUUAGAGGCAGGGAGAACAUAAAUCUGUUCAGCCAGGGGCCAGGGGAGUUCGGAUUUUGGUGUCUGUUCUCUAAUCAAUAGCAUUAGGCCUUCCCGAUUGAAAGGUCUUAAUUUGAUGGUCUCCCAGAGGAGUCAUUGGUUCUGACUCGGACGUAGGACAUGGCUUCCUGACAACCGUGGAGGCAGGUGCCAGCCUCCCAAAGGAAUGGCCAUGCCGUUCUCUUUCUGUUCUCUUCGGAUCAAGAGCCAGAAACGAGCUGGGUUUCCAUCAUAGCUUCAAAGGCUGGACCUGGAACAGACCCUCGUUAGUUCAACGCCUCUGCCCCUGGAAAGACCACACGAGGUCCUUGGGGGACCACCCUCGCCAGGUGAAAAUAGAUCCUCCUGCCAAACAGAAUCCAGGCUUUCCUUCUCUGAGGAGUCUGACAGAGUGCCCUUCAUUGCAUUUCAAUCAUUCAAGCUGCAGUUUGGGUGUUACCCACUGGUUCUGGUUUCCUUCACAUUUCAGACCUGGUAAGCUCAUCACUGAGGGGUUAGAGAGGGGCCCCUCCAGGUCAAGGAAGAUGGUCUGGGUGGGCUGGUGGUCGGCCCCCCGCGUCGGUACGGAGGAGCCAGGGAAUCAAUAUGCCCCAGUUGCAGCUGAAUUUUCUAGUCGAACCAAACCUCACCAAACCUCAUUCCCUUAUCUGUGAAAUGCAAUCCUACUUCCCAGAAUCACUGGGAAGAUUACGUGAAAUGAUAUAUGGGGAAGCCCCUUCUGAACUUUAAAACAUAGACAUGAAGUGUAGUAUGUAUCCGAUGUUUAUCUGUUUGCCAUCUCUCCCUUUGGGGACCUACCAGUCCCCCAUGUUCUCACUGGUGUGUCAAUCAUAACAGCAGGCCACGGGGAUAGGCAAGUGACCCAGGCCUGGACAAUCACCUCCUCCCUUGGGACCAGUGAUCAGACCAAGAACUGAGCACGUGACCCAAACAGGGCCAAUUAGAGUUCUUGCCUCCAAUUUAUAUAUUUGUGCUAAGAGAUUGAAAAAGCAAAAGAAAAGAUUGUGAUGCAGGGCAUUUGAAGGCUGUCUUCCCUGUCACAAGGGGACAGAAAGCCUUUCUGCCGAUGGAAUAGACAAAUGGAAAUGAGGUCUGGAUGCAGGGAGGCAGAUUUCUGACAGCCCCGGUUCCUGAUUCUGGCUCCUGGUGGUUGGAUACCUGCAGCCCUUCAUUCUUUGAACACUCACAGUUAUUUCCCACUUUGCAAGCCAACACUUUGCUUAAUUCGUUUGAGACGGUUUUCAUUUGUAUGCAACUAAAAAGGGUUAUUCCUGGUCAUUCAUUUUCUGUAGGUUUUCAUUUAUAAUUUAGUCAUUAAUAUAUUUAACAAAGACUUAUUGGCUACAGACACCAUUGUCGUACACAAAGAAUUUGAUCUCUCUUCUUGGUUCCUGGGAGGGAGCUUCUAAACCCUUGAAAGGAAUACAUUUGCUAUUCAUGGCAGGCUCUGGGACCACACCUGGGUGGAGGCUAAAAAGAUGACUCAGGAUGGGGGCGGUCCUUGUCACACUAGAGGGUAAGGUUUUGAGCUGUGUGACUUGGCCUGAAUGUUCCUCAGAGAGAGAUGGACGUUUGGAGAGAGAGUUCAGUCACAUGGCCAAGGAUUCAAUCAUCCCUUUCCACAUAAUAAAACCCCAAUAAAAAUUAUGGGCA